UGAGCAGGCCGGCCGAUCGCCGGCUGAGAUAUGCCGGAGGAAAGUCCGGGCAGGAAAGGGCACGGAGGUGGCUAACGGCCACCCGGAGCGAUCCGAGGGAAAGUGCAGCAGAAAACAUACAGCCUGUGGCCAUUGUGCCUCAGGUAAUGGUGAAAUGGUGCGGUAAGAGCGCACCGCGGAAGCGGCGACGUUUCCGGCAAGGCAAACCCCUCCGCCUGCAAGACCAAGUAUGCCGGUGCCGGCCCGGCAGAUACCGGCGGGUAGGCUGCUUGCAGAAAUGCAGAGCUGAAUGGCAACAUUCAGUCCAGUUAAAUGAUCGGCUCCGCACUUGCGGAACAGAACCCGGCUUAAAGGCCUGCUCAUUUU
Phycisphaerae bacterium is the source of this 366-nucleotide non-coding RNA. Lineage: Bacteria; Pseudomonadati; Planctomycetota; Phycisphaerae. The record is from Rfam.